RNAcentral lists this ribosomal RNA (265 nucleotides) under uncultured prokaryote. RNAcentral describes it as "partial 16S ribosomal RNA". It matches the Rfam family "Bacterial small subunit ribosomal RNA", at positions 524 to 788 of the family's 1533-position model. The record is from RNAcentral.
UACGUAGGUGGCGAGCGUUGUCCGGAUUUACUGGGCGUAAAGGGAGCGUAGGCGGACUUUUAAGUGAGAUGUGAAAUACCCGGGCUCAACUUGGGUGCUGCAUUUCAAACUGGAAGUCUAGAGUGCAGGAGAGGAGAAUGGAAUUCCUAGUGUAGCGGUGAAAUGCGUAGAGAUCGGGAGGAACACCAGUGGCGAAGGCGGCUCUCUGGACAGAUACUGACGCUGAGGCUCUAAAGUUAGGGGAGCAAACAGGAUUAGAUACCCU